RNAcentral lists this transfer RNA (83 nucleotides) under Pseudoduganella dura. Its description in RNAcentral is "tRNA-Met". The record is from RNAcentral. Lineage: Bacteria; Pseudomonadati; Pseudomonadota; Betaproteobacteria; Burkholderiales; Oxalobacteraceae.
CACGGGAGCGGCCGGGUCGGAAACGAUCGCCUGGUUCAUGGCCGGGCGAUGAUGGCGAGAGGUUCGAUGGCCGCUUCCAGCGC